ACAAAGGGUCUUUUAAGAACCAUAUCAUUAAUAAUAAAGGGAUAAUU
Non-coding RNA from Salmo salar (Atlantic salmon), 47 nucleotides. Lineage: Eukaryota; Metazoa; Chordata; Actinopteri; Salmoniformes; Salmonidae. The record is from Rfam.